CUGAGUGCCCGUUUACUCAGUCUGACCACCUGUUGAAGGUAACGUGCUAACAUGGCUAACGCUAGCAUCACCCCACGUAGCCCCGUUAUUUUAAGGUCAUUUUAGCUUAUGAAAAUUUUACGUCGCAGCUGUACGAGCUAGCUACGUGUUUUGUAAGCUGCUGUGCUCUUCACAAAUAAAGCUGGAAGCAGCUCAGACUGUUAGAACCAGCACUGAGGCCUGUUACAUUUAUACAAUGUUAGAGCAAUGGCUGCAACCUACAGCCUUUAAACUAGUGAUUACAAUGCUGACAGUAAACUCGUCAGUCCAGAUGUUACCACAUUACUUUGUGAUACUUAGAGUUAAAACAACUGAGACAGGCUGAUUAAAAUAACAGCUGUCAGUUCUCUCAUUCCUUCUAGCAAGACUGGAGAUCACACUACUGAUUUCAGUUCAUUUAAUAUGUGAGUGCACAGAUUCAUUCUCAACUGGACAUAAAUGAUGAUCAAAGGUUGUAUAUAUGAUGAAUUCAUCAAAUCCCAGCCUCUAAGCAUUCACUGAACCUACAGUAUCUACACCUGUGUGGUAAAGAUACAGAUAAUGAAGUUUAAUUAUUAAUACAAUAUACAUCAUGAAAAACAAAAGCUGAAAUUGAUUCAGUUUAGUACUUUUCUCUGUAUGUUCUGUGAUUAUAAAUGCCUUAAAUUCUGUGAUAUAUACUGUAAAUGAUUUUCACAGAGGUCUUAAAGUACUUAAAUCACUGCUGAUAGUCUGGUUGUUUAUAUUUUCAUGUUUUUGUGUCUGUAAGGCUGUUUGAUGACGAUUUGGACUCCUCUGGGAGAUGAGGACACACCCACAUCUGUUCCAUACUGCAGCCAUGGAUGGUGUUACGGCUCUGAGUCAGCUUUGGGCCAUCAGAUGCACACACUGGAAAACCAGCGCUUGUACUUCAUGCAGGAGAGAUGACCUCAGUGAUAAUUCAUCAGCAGCUGUGAAGAGAUGUAUUUGAAUAUCUUCUGGUUCCACUUUUCUUAACCUGGAAGCUGAGUAUUGCUGAUUCCUGACAAGGACACACACCUCAGCGCUUAUCAUGGGUGUUACAUCCUCUCUGCCGCAAUUCCAGAGAAAACGAGAGAGCAACGACCACUCAUUAAGACCAGACAGAAAUCUGUCACUUUCUGGCAGCUGUGAAAACUUCCAAUAAGAAAGUUUGCAUUCUUAGAACAAUGCUGGGUCAUGUGUGAUGUGUCAUUAUAUGAGGAUAUUACAUUUUGACUUAAUUCUGCUCAAUUAAGUGUUUUGUUCGUUGAUCCAAUAUGGCAGCUUUUUAUUGUGCUCCAAGUUAAAACUCAUUGUCCUCAUGAGCGCAGCAUCUAACAACUCUCCUUUAAAAAGUCGAUUGACUUUAACUGGACACAAUGGUUUCCAGUGGGAGAUACAUUCAUCACUCAUCCGUGACACUGGAGAAGUCACCUGAGUGAGUGAUAAAACAAUUUUCCAUGGAAAAUCCAGAGGAACUAAACUUUGUUGUUGUUUCUUUGGGCUCAAUUUCAGCUCUAGCAGCAUCUCUCAGAAGAAAACCGUUUUGCAAAUAAUCAGAUAAAAAGAUUGUUGAACUAGGUGGUAUUCUCUGGAGUUUAAGACCAAAACUGAACUCAAACAGUGAAUUGACAUUAGACUGGAAUUCAUAAGAUGAAUAGAAAUACUGCUGAAGCUGAAUGAUUCAUUCAUGUAUAUAUAUAUGACUUUUUUUCCCCCCCCAAUUCACCAGGUCUGUAAAGUUCAGUAUGACUGUGGUACAUGAUACAAAAGAAUAAAUACAGAAGAAUAAAAACUUUGUGAAUAACUUUACUCUUCUUAAAAAUAACUCAUGAAACAAGUAAAAGUACAAAUGUGUACAAGUUAGAGACUACCUCAGUAAGUUUACACUCUUUUGGAGUGAUUUUAAUUGUGUGUUAAAGAGAAAGAGAUUAGGAGGUAAAGUAGAGGAUGCAGAGUCAAUCAUCACUGAGGCCGUCUCUCCUGCAUGAAGUCCAGGCGCUGGUUUUCCAGUGUGUGCAUCUGAUGGCCCAAAGCUGACUCAGAGCUGUAACACCAUCCAUGGCUGCAGUAUGGAACAGAUGUGGGUGUGUCCUCAUCUCCCAGAGGAGUCCAAAUCGUCAUCAAACAGCCCUACAGACACAAAAACAUGAAAAUAUAAACAACCAGACUAUCAGCAGUGAUUUAAGUACUUUAAGACCUCUGUGAAAAUCAUUUACAGUAUAUAUCACAGAAUUUAAGGCAUUUAUAAUCACAGAACAUACAGAGAAAAGUACUAAACUGAAUCAAUUUCAGCUUUUGUUUUUCAUGAUGUAUAUUGUAUUAAUAAUUAAACUUCAUUAUCUGUAUCUUUACCACACAGGUGUAGAUACUGUAGGUUCAGUGAAUGCUUAGAGGCUGGGAUUUGAUGAAUUCAUCAUAUAUGCAACCUUUGAUCAUCAUUUAUGUCCAGUUGAGAAUGAAUCUGUGCACUCACAUAUUAAAUGAACUGAAAUCAGUAGUGUGAUCUCCAG
Molecule: long non-coding RNA, 2531 nt
Organism: Oreochromis niloticus (Nile tilapia)
Lineage: Eukaryota; Metazoa; Chordata; Actinopteri; Cichliformes; Cichlidae
Source: Ensembl